CGGUCAAUGAAGAGACCUCGUAGGUGACCUGCUCAAAGGGUUCCGGGACUCUGCACACCUCCUCCACCACCUCCAUUCCUCUUGGGCCAGAGCAUCAACAGGUGCAUUGAUAAUGGCCAGGGUAGAGAUGAUGGCAUCCUUUGACUCAAGAAACCGCUUCAACAUAUAAAAUAGUGCAGUCUUGUUUAGGCCUCAGCUCAGGCAUCCCCAUCUGGCUUUGUGUACACUUUAGUUUUUCACCACCUACUGUGCUCCUGUGGGUGUAUUCCACAGCUGCUUUCACUUUGUCCACAAUGGGCUUUAUCACCUUCAGAGCAUCUCUUACAAUCAGGUUGAUUGUGUGGGGCAAGACAUGGAUGAUGGGUCCAUUUUAACAUUUUCAUGACUUUGGUUAUGUUAGCUGCAUUGUUGCUAACGCAACAGACCACUUUUCCAUCUACUUGCCAUUCUCUGGCCACUCUCAACAGUUCCUCUGCCAAGUUCUCUGAGGUGUGUCUGUUGCUGAACUCAAAGCAGUCCAGAAGACAGCUGGACAUCGAACAAUCUUCAGUGAAGUGACAUGUAACCGACAUGUAAGAAGUGGUUACCCUUGAUGUCCAGCAGUCAGUGGGAAGGCAAACUGCAGUAGCUUUUUGGACUCUUUCCCACACUGAAGCCUGUGUGCUCUCGUACAGUUGAGGAAUAAGUGAUUUUGAAAAGGUUUUCCUGCUUGGAAUUGUG
Molecule: long non-coding RNA, 720 nt
Organism: Oncorhynchus tshawytscha (Chinook salmon)
Lineage: Eukaryota; Metazoa; Chordata; Actinopteri; Salmoniformes; Salmonidae
Source: Ensembl